UGAGGAAUAUUGGUCAAUGGGCGGGAGCCUGAACCAGCCAAGUCGCGUGAAGGAAGAAGGAUCUAUGGUUCGUAAACUUCUUUUGCAGGGGAAUAAAGUGCAGGACGUGUCCUGUUUUGUAUGUACCCUGAGAAUAAGGAUCGGCUAACUCCGUGCCAGCAGCCGCGGUAAUACGGAGGAUCCGAGCGUUAUCCGGAUUUAUUGGGUUUAAAGGGUGCGUAGGUGGUUUGAUAAGUCAGCGGUGAAAGUUUGCAGCUUAACUGUAAAAAUGCCGUCGAAACCGUCGGACUUGAGUGUAAAUGAGGUAGGCGGAAUGCGUGGUGUAGCGGUGAAAUGCAUAGAUAUCACGCAGAACUCCGAUUGCGAAGGCAGCUUACUAAGCUACAACUGACACUGAAGCACGAAAGCGUGGGGAUCAAACA
Molecule: ribosomal RNA, 422 nt
Filed under: uncultured bacterium
Lineage: Bacteria
Description: bacterial SSU rRNA
Rfam family: Bacterial small subunit ribosomal RNA
Source: RNAcentral